UACGUAGGGGGCAAGCGUUGUUCGGAAUUACUGGGCGUAAAGGGCGCGUAGGCGGCACGGCAAGUCAGGAGUGAAAGGCCCGGGCUCAACCGAGGAACUGCUUUUGAGACUGCCGAGCUAGAGUGCAGAAGGGGCAACUGGAAUUCCCAGUGUAGCGGUGAAAUGCGUAGAUAUUGGGAAGAACACCUGAGGCGAAGGCGGGUUGCUGGGCUGACACUGACGCUGAGGCGCGAAAGCCAGGGGAGCGAACGGG
This 253-nucleotide ribosomal RNA is filed under the name uncultured bacterium. RNAcentral's name for it is "partial 16S ribosomal RNA". It matches the Rfam family "Bacterial small subunit ribosomal RNA", at positions 524 to 776 of the family's 1533-position model. The record is from RNAcentral.